Molecule: small nuclear RNA, 96 nt
Organism: Dipodomys ordii (Ord's kangaroo rat)
Lineage: Eukaryota; Metazoa; Chordata; Mammalia; Rodentia; Heteromyidae
Source: Ensembl
UCACUUUAGCAGUACAUAUAGUAACUCUGGAAUAGUACAGAGCAGAUUAGCAUUGCCUCAGUGCAAAGAUGAUGGAAUGAAGCAUUCCACAUUUUA